UACGGGGGGGGCAAGCGUUGUUCGGAAUUACUGGGCGUAAAGGGCUCGUAGGUGGCCAACUAAGUCAGACGUGAAAUCCCUCGGCUUAACCGGGGAACUGCGUCUGAUACUGGAUGGCUUGAGUUCGGGAGAGGGAUGCGGAAUUCCAGGUGUAGCGGUGAAAUGCGUAGAUAUCUGGAGGAACACCGGUGGCGAAGGCGGCAUCCUGGACUGGUACUGACGCUCAGGAGCGAAAGCGUGGGGAGCGAUCCGG
RNAcentral lists this ribosomal RNA (253 nucleotides) under uncultured bacterium. RNAcentral describes it as "partial 16S ribosomal RNA". It matches the Rfam family "Bacterial small subunit ribosomal RNA", at positions 524 to 776 of the family's 1533-position model. The record is from RNAcentral.